UUUAAAACGUUGACAGGGAGAGUAUUCUGAAACUACCGUGCAAGAGAGGGAACGCCAAGGCUGAAAGCUUCCUCAUGGACGUACAGGAGAAAACCACCCUUGAGUGUUGGGCUGAAAUUUAGUAAGCUCUGCCGUUCCCCGCGUUAAGGGAAAUCGAGUGAGAGGUGCAUUUUUGAACCUUUCAAUUGGGUGGAACCACGGAAGUAGAACUUUCGUCCCUAUU
Molecule: non-coding RNA, 223 nt
Filed under: Desulfosporosinus sp.
Lineage: Bacteria; Bacillati; Bacillota; Clostridia; Eubacteriales; Desulfitobacteriaceae
Description: T-box sequence
Rfam family: T-box leader
About the family: Uncharged tRNA acts as the effector for transcription antitermination of genes in the T-box leader family. T-boxes are found upstream of many aminoacyl-tRNA synthetase genes and some amino acid biosynthetic genes usually in Gram-positive bacteria. The anticodon of a specific tRNA base pairs to a specifier sequence within the T-box motif, and the NCCA acceptor tail of the tRNA base pairs to a conserved bulge in the T-box antiterminator hairpin.
Source: RNAcentral